Molecule: ribosomal RNA, 463 nt
Filed under: uncultured bacterium
Lineage: Bacteria
Description: partial 16S ribosomal RNA
Rfam family: Bacterial small subunit ribosomal RNA
Source: RNAcentral
GACGAACGCUGGCGGCGUGCUUAACACAUGCAAGUCGAACGGUAAGGCCCUUUCGGGGGUACACGAGUGCGAACGGGUGAGUAACACGUGGGUGAUCUGCCCUGCACUUUGGGAUAAGCCUGGGAAACUGGGUCUAAUACCGGAUAGGACUACGCGAUGCAUGUCGUGUGGUGGAAAGCUUUUGCGGUGUGGGAUGGGCCCGCGGCCUAUCAGCUUGUUGGUGGGGUGAUGGCCUACCAAGGCGACGACGGGUAGCCGGCCUGAGAGGGUGUCCGGCCACACUGGGACUGAGAUACGGCCCAGACUCCUACGGGAGGCAGCAGUGGGGAAUAUUGCACAAUGGGCGCAAGCCUGAUGCAGCGACGCCGCGUGGGGGAUGACGGCCUUCGGGUUGUAAACCCCUUUCAGCACAGACGAAGCGUAAGUGACGGUAUGUGCAGAAGAAGCACCGGCCAACUACGUG